GGGGAUGUAGAUCUAAUUGGCAGAGCGGAACAUUUGCACUGUUCAGGCUGAGAGUUCGAAUCUCUCCGUCUCCACCA
This 77-nucleotide transfer RNA is filed under the name Acidobacteriota bacterium. RNAcentral describes it as "Acidobacteria bacterium (activated sludge metagenome) tRNA-Ala". It matches the Rfam family "tRNA". From Rfam's summary of the family: Transfer RNA (tRNA) molecules are approximately 80 nucleotides in length. Their secondary structure includes four short double-helical elements and three loops (D, anti-codon, and T loops). The record is from RNAcentral. Lineage: Bacteria; Pseudomonadati; Acidobacteriota.